GGUUAAGCUACUAAGAGCACACGGUGGAUGCCUAGGCGCUAGGAGCCGAUGAAGGACGUGGCGAACAACGAUAAGGCCUCGGGGAGCUGUAAGCAAGCUGUGAUCCGGGGAUGUCCGAAUGGGGAAACCUAACUGGAUUCAUCUCCAGUUACUCACACCUGAAUACAUAGGGUGUGCAGAGGCAGACGAGGGGAACUGAAACAUCUAAGUACCCUCAGGAAAAGAAAACAAGAGUGAUUCCGUCAGUAGCGGCGAGCGAACGCGGAACAGCCCAAACCAAGAAGCUUGCUUCUUGGGGUUGUGGGACGUCUCUUUGGAGUUACAAAGGAAUGAGGUAGGCGAAGAGGUCUGGAAAGGCCCGCAAGACAAGGUGAAAGCCCUGUAGCUUAAAUCUCAUUCUCUCCGAGACGGAUCCCGAGUAGUGCGGGGCACGUGAAACCCCGUAUGAAUCUGCCAGGACCAUCUGGUAAGGCUAAAUACUCCCUAGCGACCGAUAGUGAAGCAGUACCGUGAGGGAAAGGUGAAAAGGACCCCGGAAGGGGAGUGAAAUAGAACCUGAAACCGUGUGCUUACAAAAAGUCAGAGCCCUAUUAAUGGGUGAUGGCGUGCCUUUUGUAGAAUGAACCGGCGAGUUACGUUCCCGUGCAAGGUUAAGGUGAAAAGCCGGAGCCGCAGCGAAAGCGAGUCUGAAUAGGGCGACUAAGUACGUGGACGUAGACCCGAAACCAGGUGAUCUACCCCUGUCCAGGGUGAAGGUACGGUAACACGUACUGGAGGCCCGAACCCACGCACGUUGAAAAGUGCGGGGAUGAGGUGGGGGUAGCGGAGAAAUUCCAAUCGAACCUGGAGAUAGCUGGUUCUCCCCGAAAUAGCUUUAGGGCUAGCCUCGGAAGUUGAGUCGUGGAGGUAGAGCACUGAUUGGAUGCGGGGCCCGCAAGGGUUACCAAGUUCAGUCAAACUCCGAAUGCCACAGACUUUAUUCCGGGAGUCAGACAGUGAGUGCUAAGAUCCAUUGUCGAAAGGGAAACAGCCCAGACCAUCAGCUAAGGUCCCCAAGUGUGUGUUAAGUGGGAAAGGAUGUGAAGUUGCACAGACAACCAGGAUGUUGGCUUAGAAGCAGCCACCAUUGAAAGAGUGCGUAAUAGCUCACUGGUCGAGUGACUUUGCGCCGAAAAUGUAACGGGGCUAAACACACCACCGAAGCUAUGGCUUGAUACUUUGUAUCAGGGGUAGGGGAGCGUUGAAUGAAGAUUGAAGGUGUACCGCAAGGAGCGCUGGACCUCAUUCAAGUGAGAAUGCCGGUAUGAGUAACGAAAAGAUCAGUGAGAAUCUGAUCCGCCGAAAACCCAAGGAUUCCUGAGGAAGGCUCGUCCUCUCAGGGUAAGUCGGGACCUAAGGCGAGGCCGAAAGGCGUAGUCGACGGACAACAGGUUGAAAUUCCUGUACCACCGAAAGCCGUUAUGAGCAAUGGGAUGACGCAGGAGGAUAGUGACGCGGACUGAUGGAUGUCCGUUCAAGCAGUGAGGCUGGUAUGUAGGCAAAUCCGCAUACCGCAAGGCCAGGCUGUGAUGAGGAGCGAAAAUUGUAGUAGCGAAGGUCAUGAUUUCACACUGCCAAGAAAAGUCUCUAGCCAGGAAGCAGGUGCCCGUACCGUAAACCGACACAGGUGGGUGAGAAGAGAAUUCUAAGGCGCGCGGAAGAACUCUCGUUAAGGAACUCGGCAAAAUGACCCCGUAACUUCGGGAGAAGGGGUGCCCCGGUAGUGUGAAUAGCACGAGGGGGCCGCAGUGAAAAGGCCCAAGCGACUGUUUAGCAAAAACACAGGUCUGUGCGAAGCCGCAAGGCGAAGUAUACGGGCUGACGCCUGCCCGGUGCUGGAAGGUUAAGGGGAGUGGUUAGCGCAAGCGAAGCUAUGAACCGAAGCCCCAGUAAACGGCGGCCGUAACUAUAACGGUCCUAAGGUAGCGAAAUUCCUUGUCAGGUAAAUUCUGACCCGCACGAAUGGCGUAACGAUUUGGGCGCUGUCUCAACGAGAGAUCCGGUGAAAUUUUAAUACCUGUGAAGAUGCAGGUUACCCGCGACAAGACGGAAAGACCCCAUGGAGCUUUACUGCAACUUGAUAUUGAACUGGGGUGCGAUUUGUACAGGAUAGGUGGGAGCCGUAGAAACCGGAGCGCAAGCUUCGGUUGAGGCGCCGUUGGGAUACCACCCUGAUCGCAUUUGAGUUCUAACCUCGUACCGUGAUCCGGUACAGGGACCGUGUCAGGUGGGCAGUUUGACUGGGGCGGUCGCCUCCUAAAGUGUAACGGAGGCGCCCUAAGGUUCCCUCAGAAUGGUUGGAAAUCAUUCGAAGAGUGUAAAGGCAUAAGGGAGCUUGACUGCGAGACAGACACGUCGAGCAGGGACGAAAGUCGGGCUUAGUGAUCCGGUGGUACCGCAUGGAAGGGCCAUCGCUCAACGGAUAAAAGCUACCCUGGGGAUAACAGGCUUAUCUCCCCCAAGAGUCCACAUCGACGGGGAGGUUUGGCACCUCGAUGUCGGCUCAUCGCAUCCUGGGGCUGAAGUAGGUCCCAAGGGUUGGGCUGUUCGCCCAUUAAAGCGGUACGCGAGCUGGGUUCAGAACGUCGUGAGACAGUUCGGUCCCUAUCUGUCGUGGGCGUAGGAAAUUUGAGAGGAGCUGUCCUUAGUACGAGAGGACCGGGAUGGACGCACCGCUGGUGUACCAGUUGUUCCGCCAGGAGCAUCGCUGGGUAGCUACGUGCGGAAGGGAUAAGCGCUGAAAGCAUCUAAGCGUGAAGCCCCCCUCAAGAUGAGAUUUCCCAGUAUGUAAGACCCCUUGUAGACGACGAGGUUGAUAGGUUGGGGGUGGAAGUGCCGCAAGGCAUGGAGCUGACCAAUACUAAUCGGUCGAGGGCUUAUCCAA
RNAcentral lists this ribosomal RNA (2923 nucleotides) under Paenibacillus nuruki. Its description in RNAcentral is "23S ribosomal RNA". It matches the Rfam family "Bacterial large subunit ribosomal RNA". The record is from RNAcentral. Lineage: Bacteria; Bacillati; Bacillota; Bacilli; Caryophanales; Paenibacillaceae.